CUUGACACUGAACAUUGAGCCUUGAUGUGUAGGAUAGGUGGGAGGCUUUGAAGUGUGGACGCCAGUCUGCGUGGAGCCGACCUUGAAAUACCACCCUUUAAUGUUUGAUGUUCUAACGUGGACCCGUAAUCCGGGUUGCGGACAGUGUCUGGUGGGUAGUUUGACUGGGGCGGUCUCCUCCUAAAGAGUAACGGAGGAGCACGAAGGUUGGCUAAUCCUGGUCGGACAUCAGGAGGUUAGUGCAAUGGCAUAAGCCA
RNAcentral lists this ribosomal RNA (257 nucleotides) under Salmonella enterica subsp. enterica serovar Muenchen. RNAcentral's name for it is "partial 23S ribosomal RNA". It matches the Rfam family "Bacterial large subunit ribosomal RNA", at positions 2110 to 2366 of the family's 2925-position model. Lineage: Bacteria; Pseudomonadati; Pseudomonadota; Gammaproteobacteria; Enterobacterales; Enterobacteriaceae. The record is from RNAcentral.